UGUACAUAAAUAUGAGAGAUGCAUAGAAAUGAAUUACAAAAUUGUCUUGUGGGGACUACAAAAUGACGAGCCUACAGCGUUAUGUGUGACGUAACUGAGUUUUGUGUUCUAAUAUUCAUAAAAAUGGUUACUUAAAACUUUGCUAAACAUUUCGCCUAUUUUUUCCCCUGAUCUUGUUCGGUUCGAUUGUGUCACAUGCAAGUGUGUAACCUUGAUUGUUAGGGCGUGUUUGGUUCCUGUCCAGAGCUUGCCACAGCUCGCCGCACCUCAUGUUAGCCUGUGUUUGCUUUGUGACUCAACCUGCGGUGUGCUGCACUGGCCUCAAUGGCCGCUCAGUGGUUUUUCUCAGCAAUUCUUGCCAAAAGCUUGGCAACUUUUUUUUCUGCUACAAGUCUGGCGCCGCCUGAACCUCGGUGUGGCCAGGUCUGGUCGAGAACCAAUAGAUCCUUAGUAGUUUUGUUACUCAAUUGUCUUGUGGGUAUCUGCACCACGUUUUGCUUCUCUUUACAUUUGAAGAUUGAUAUAUCGCUAAUCUGACCUGUGUGAUUUUCUUAAUUCAGUAUGUGUGUAUUUGCUAAAUAGUUCCAUCUAAAUCUGAACCGAAAAAAAACCCUAGAAACUCGAUGUUUUCAUUUUAUUUAGCACUGAGAUACCUAUACACUUUUUUAAUUAUGUAGAAAUGAAAGAUUUUGUUACACUUUCUUUUAUGUAUGUCCACUUAGCUCAAUGGUUAGAGCUUGGCGUUGUACUAAUAGCAUAUAAUAUUUUGUACAAAUUCAUCAAAUUGUGCCUCUGCCACAUACUGACAUACUGAUUAGCAUCAUUUAGCAAGUAGUGAAUAACAAACCACUGGAUUAUCAAUAGUAUAUAACAGACUUUUUUGUUUGUCUUCAUCCAAUCCCUAUCUACUGACCAUCGGGUUCAUUAUUCUAUUAGCCUAUCUCGUGUUAACUGUGCAUAUCUCCUUGAGCAUUGAAAAUUUUAGGAUAUGAAACAAGUUCUUCGAUAGUUAUGAAGAGUUCUAAUGCAUGAUUACCAGCCAUUUAAGAGCUAGUUUGGAUAAACAAUUCCCCUUGUGGAUUUGAGGGGGUCGACUCGAGGAGGAAUGAACUAAUUUCCCCCUCAAUUCGCCAGUCCCCUCCAGUCCACAUGGAGAAUGGGCGUAUUCAAACAAACCCUCAGUGGAUAUGACUGUUAUCCUGCAUUUGCUACUCAGAUCAUAAAGACGGCUACAAAUGCAUGUAUAGAACACUUUGUGCAAGAUAUGUAAUAUCAGCAGUUAGUUAUUUAUCUUCAAAUCUGCUCUCAAUCUGGAGUGGACUACGUCAUUGGGUCAAGCCCCACUGGAAGUUAUGGUAAUGAAAUACUUGUACCGAUCUUGCUUUGCUCCCUGCACUGUGCAUGCCAGUGGAUGCAGCUAAUUUGAUAACAGCAUUGAAUUCAUUUAUCAAUUAACAUAAAGGUAGCCAAGCAACUGUCUUGCUUUGAGGGCAGUGAAAGCUGAAAGCACUUCAAUCAUCAGGAAGCAGCUUGGCGCGCUGCUGCUGUCUACUACUCCCCGACAGAUUGGCAUAAUUCAAGGGCCAAGGGCCACAACGGUUUGCAUAGACUUACUGCUUCAAGUUAAUCAGACUAAUCAGAAAACAGAUGUGCUACUUGAUGAAGGAUUUGAGUAGCACAAUGGUCAUGGAACUUAGGGAAUGUACUGGGGACUUUUAAUGGUAGUUAACUAGUAGAUUUGGGGUCUUCGAGGUCUCACUUGCUAAGUAUAUGAGCUGGAAUCCAUGGGGCUGUGCACUCCAUGCAUGUCAUGCUCAUCAUAUCUUUAGAGUUGGGAGAAGGUUUGGUUGGCAUGUGAGUGUCCCUGUGAUUUGUUUUCUGUGGUGGUAUUGGAAUUAGGGGAGAGCUUGGGGGUUGUUUGUCUUUGUUAAAAUACGGCGUUCCACACCCCCAUCACAGCUGUGCAGACGUUGGUCGGACGGCUGUCGGAGGUACAGUUUGUUAACAGACGGGAAGCUUUCUGGAGGAUCUGCUGUGCCAUGUGACGGUAGACCCUCUGGAUCCUGUCAUUUGGUCUGUGCCGGAAGGUACGGGAGAGGGGAUCUUUUACAUGUAUUUUCUGUCACUUGCUCAGUGUUUUCUUGCUUCAAAAUCAGGUCUGUGUUUGGUGGUAGAACCAGUGCUGCAAUACACAAUGGUGGACCAUUACAUUAAUUCAUUCCGUUACCCAGCAUGUGCUCUGUUAUGUUUCCGUACCAGCGGCUCAUUUUGAUUCGAACCUUUGCUGCCUCUCAUGAGUUGUUGUUUGUUUAGGCAUUUCAUUUUCCCUCUGUGCCAAUCAGUUCCAGUAUAGCUACACCCUGUAGGUGCUGCAGAGAAAUGACAAAAGGACUUAAAUUAGCCUUGCUACUAGCUGACAAGAUAUUUGUGAGGUCUACUCAAAUCUCCUCAAGAAUCAAACGUGAUGUAUUGCCUUUAUAACGACAGUGGUAUUUGUUUCUGAAAAAAAAGAUAAACAGGAAAGCUUCGCUUGCAAACAAUAUGGAAUCUGCAAUGAUUGAUUGGUGUAAGGAAAGAAGGUUCCUGGAGAUUCACAUACUUGACUAGCAGCAGAGAUCUGGAGAUUAUUGGUGAGAUGUACAAGCAGCUGUGUGUUGCCCCUAGGAGGGGAACCAGAUUGCACAAAUUAACAAACAAAAGGGACUACAGUAGAGAAAGGACAAGAGAUGAUUCCCUGCAUUUCUGAAAGGAAAAGGGUGGGUAGGAAUGAAGCGACAGCCCUAAAGGAGUUUGGCAAUACCUUGUGGUGAAGAAUGGGCAAUAGAUGUUGGAUGUCGCGCUGCCAUGAGUUUUUUCUGCUUGCCCAAUUGAACCGGACCUUGGGAAGAAGAGAAAGGCAUUUGAUGGAGGCAACUCCCUCAGGUGGGGAGAAGAGCCUGCGCUCCACCUGGCCAGUGCAGUGGCUGCUCUGUUAAUGCCUUUGCCUUUUUUCACGAAUGAGGUAAAAAGGAGCCAUGCACUUGAAACUUUGAUUCUGGCAAGGAAACUAUACAUACCGGCAUCAUGCUACCACUUGCACUCUGUGAAACCUUUGAUGCAGGAACAGUCCGAUGGGGUAUAUGUAAAUGCUGCUGUACAAAUACAGCACACUUGGCAGAGUACCUUUUGUUUUCCUACGGAUGAAUGAUUGGAGCUGUAGGCAUAUGGUAGGUACUUUUGGUUUUCAAUUACCCCUAGACGGCGGCUUGUUUGUGCUGAUACUAGAUGGUUUUCUGCAGCUUGUGGAGUGCCCCUGAUUCUUUAACACAAGAAGCAGCACGAGUCCAGCAAAUCACAGCCGCAUCAGCUGCUUGUAACAGCACAUCAGUCGUCAUCAUCAGUAUAUCUAAUUCCGGAGUUGCAAGACAUUCUACUGUGCAAGACAACUGUGCCUCAGUGCCUGCAUGGAAACCUGCAGUUGUUUAAUCCCGUAAAAACCGGUAAGCAGGUGAGCAGGGCGGAGUUCUUGUGCUCCAUGAAAUGAACCUGAGCUGUACUACUUGGCAUGAUCCAGAUCCAAAGCUAAAUUUGAAUCAUUUUUGCAGAUCCCAAGAGCAAAGCCCUCGCCUGCCUGUCGCGAGUACUCGCUCACUCACUGCUCCCCCACAACCGGUGGAGUCAGGCCAAUCCAGCGGCAUUUGCAGGUGGCCAUCUCACCACCCCAUCGCCAUUCCGCUCUCUCGAAGCAACGCAAUAUGGCAGUGUGCUGCUGCUGUGCCCGGCCAGCGCAGUUUGACAGGGGAGAUGAACAGUAGCAGGGCCGAGCGCCACCACCACCACCACCGCGACAGGGCCCCCCAACCCACUCCUCGCCGCGCCUUUAUGGGGAGGAGGCGAGGCUCAUCGGCCGCUACAGUUCUGGUCCUCUGGUCGGCCCGCGGCCGGUGACAGCUUGGUGGCCGGCGGGGCACCGUACCAGUACAAGCCUUGGACGCCAUCCAUGAUCUAUCCAACACAUUGAUGCCGCGGCCUCGCAGAGAGGUGGCAAUGAAUUGAAGCUGAUGAUGGAUGGGGUGGUGGUGGCGCACUGGCGCUGGCAGAUCAGAGCAGGUGCUGAUGAUUCGCAUCGUACGCCGCCGCUGCCAUCAGUCUGGUUUAUAUCCACUCCACCACCUGCUGCUGCUUGCUUUCUUGGCUGCCGCGUUUGGUUACUCUUCCGCCGGCUGUGGCAGUGGCACACCCGUUUGUUCCCUUUGCAAGGUACUCUUAAAUGGCCAGCACCCGGCAAGGCACCCAUCUCUUCC
Long non-coding RNA from Setaria italica (foxtail millet), 4283 nucleotides. RefSeq lists it as uncharacterized. The transcript has 3 exons. The record is from RefSeq and is a predicted model, not a curated record. Lineage: Eukaryota; Viridiplantae; Streptophyta; Magnoliopsida; Poales; Poaceae.